Molecule: RNA transcript, 1010 nt
Organism: Mandrillus leucophaeus (drill)
Lineage: Eukaryota; Metazoa; Chordata; Mammalia; Primates; Cercopithecidae
Exons: 1
Source: RefSeq, a predicted model, not a curated record
AUGGCCUCUCCAGGCCCAGCUCUUGCUUCACGGAGGUCGUCCCCAGCCAAGUUCCUGCCUGCCUCCCAGCAGCCUCAACAGGCCCAGCUCCUGCCUCACACUGGCAUCAUUAGGCCCAGUUCAUGCCUCACAGUGGCCUCUCCAGGCUGAUCUCUUGUCUCACACUGGCCCCUUUAGGCCCAGCUCAUGCCUCUUGGCAGCCUCUUCAGGCCCAACUUCUGUGUCCUGGCAGCCUCUCCAGGCCCAGCUCCUGCCUCCUGUCAGCCUCUACAGGCCCAAUAUCUGCCUCACAGCAGAUUCUCCAGGCCCAGCAUCUGCCUCACCGUGGCCCCCCAAAGCCAAGCCCCUGCCUUUCAGCAGCCUCUACACACCCAGCUCCAGCCACCCAGUGGCUCUUCAGGCCAAGCUAAUACCUCACGAGGGUUUUUCCAGGCCCAACUUUUGUCUCAUGGCAACCUUCCCUGGCCAGGUUUCCACCUAUUUCCUGGCAGCCUGGACAGGCCCAGGUCCUGCCACACACUGGCCUCUCUACACCCAGCUCAUGCCUCACAGUGGCCUCUCCAGGCCCAGCUCCUGUCCCGGGACAUCAUCUACAGGUCCAAAACUUCCUCAAGUCGGCCUCUCCAGGCCCAGUUGCUGCCUCCUGGCGUCCUUUCCAGGCCUAGCUCUUCCUCCUGGCUGUAUCUACAAGCCCAACUCCUGCUUCACAACAACCUUUUAUGGCUCAGCUCCUGCCCAGCUCCUGCCAGCCUUUGUAGGCCCAAAACUUCCUCAAGUCAAGCUCUUUAGGCCCACCUUCUGCCUCGCAGUGGCCUGUACAGACCCAACUCUGGCUUGAGAAUAGCCUCUGCAGGCCCCGCUCUUGCCUCCUAGCACCCUCUCCAGGCCCAACUCUUGCCUCCUAGUGGCUUCCGUGGGCCAAGUUUCCGCCUGCCUCCCAGCAGCCUCAACAGGCCUAGCUCCUCCCUCACAGAGGCUUGUUUAUGCCCAGUCGAUGCCUCUGGCAACCU